Molecule: long non-coding RNA, 1143 nt
Organism: Panthera uncia (snow leopard)
Lineage: Eukaryota; Metazoa; Chordata; Mammalia; Carnivora; Felidae
Exons: 5
Source: RefSeq, a predicted model, not a curated record
CUUCAUUUUCAAUCUCUUCUGGGGCUACAGGAGAAUCACUUUGCAUCUUAUGACAAAUGAAGAUGUUACCUAAAUAAAUACAGAAUUAAUAUAUAGCAGCCUGCAAACUCCCACCUAGGAAAGAACAACAGAGAGCAGCCCCACAGAAUGGAGAAAAGCUAUACCGGAGCCUUAACUCCAUAACCCAAGAUGCCAUCUGGAGACAAUACUGUAACUGACAGGAUUGUGCCCUAGGAGGAAACAGCCAGCUCCUGGACAGCUCUUCUCAAACCAUCUUGAUGGUGCAGACUUCUGGGUACCACAUCACUAGAACAAGGGGAGCACGCUUCGUAAAACUUCAGUGACAGAAGACAUCACAAGAAAAUACUGCCUCUAGCGAGAGGUUAAUCGUUCCAUCCUGAAUAGUUUGGAAUCCUGGUGGUUGCACAAUGGAUCUACUGCUGGAAAGCUUUCAGAUUUCAGAGGCUGACCCACAGAAAAACCAAUGAACAAACUGACAUGCCUUCUUACUCUUGUGAACCCGUACAAGAUCCCAAACUGCUCUUCAAACAACGAUGACCUUCUUUACCAACCAUGGAGAUACUUCUUCGCUGUCUACACCGGACCCAGCUGCCUCUGCCUUGUAACUCCCCUGUACGUUCCCCAACUGAACGGUGUUGGCCCAUAGGUAGGGACAUCUAUACGCCCCUAUUCAGCAGGAAGAAGCUAGAAAGAGACCUUCUGCUUUCAACAAUCUUAAAGACUUAAGGGUAAGAUACGAGGAGAAAACAAAAAGCAAGCUGACAGAAAAACACGAGCUGACACCCCGUAAUCCCACCUUCUCCACGCUUAAGGUGGGAUAUAUAACAUUCCUCAGGCACUAGGAACUGCCUAAGAACAAAGGCAAGGGAAAAAUAAAUGGGCAGUUGAUAAAGAUCACAGGCAUGUAGGACAUGAAACUCCACUACAGUUUGUAACUGUCUUAAUGAUUUACAAGAAUAACACAAUAAGAAAUCUCCAGGAACCUAUUGACUCCUAUAGGCCUUUCCUGGAGCCCUAACAUCACCUUCACCUCCAUAGGAUGGAAAACCCUAUAUAAUCAGUCACUCCUCACAAUCACAAUGCAGCUCUUUCUGUCCACAGGUCCUGGCCCCAAGCUGUAAU